RNAcentral lists this ribosomal RNA (497 nucleotides) under uncultured bacterium. RNAcentral describes it as "partial 16S ribosomal RNA". It matches the Rfam family "Bacterial small subunit ribosomal RNA", at positions 28 to 507 of the family's 1533-position model. The record is from RNAcentral.
GAUGAACGCUGGCGGCGUGCCUAAUACAUGCAAGUCGAGCGAACAGACGAGGAGCUUGCUCCUUUGACGUUAGCGGCGGACGGGUGAGUAACACGUAGGUAACCUACCUAUAAGACUGGGAUAACUUCGGGAAACCGGAGCUAAUACCGGAUAAUAUUUCGAAUCGCAUGGUUCGAUAGUGAAAGAUGGCUUUGCUAUCACUUAUAGAUGGACCUGCGCCGUAUUAGCUAGUUGGUAAGGUAACGGCUUACCAAGGCAACGAUACGUAGCCGACCUGAGAGGGUGAUCGGCCACACUGGAACUGAGACACGGUCCAGACUCCUACGGGAGGCAGCAGUAGGGAAUCUUCCGCAAUGGGCGAAAGCCUGACGGAGCAACGCCGCGUGAGUGAUGAAGGUCUUCGGAUCGUAAAACUCUGUUAUUAGGGAAGAACAAACGUGUAAGUAACUAUGCACGUCUUGACGGUACCUAAUCAGAAAGCCACGGCUAACUACGUG